Molecule: ribosomal RNA, 726 nt
Filed under: uncultured fungus
Lineage: Eukaryota; Fungi
Description: eukaryotic LSU rRNA
Rfam family: 5.8S ribosomal RNA (bases 256-409)
Source: RNAcentral
UAGAGGAAGUAAAAGUCGUAACAAGGUUUCCGUAGGUGAACCUGCGGAAGGAUCAUUAUCGAAAUUAAGUGAGGGUUUGAUGCUGGCAGUCUUGUCUUAGUCUGCAUGUGCUCGCUCUCUUUAAUCCACUCCCACAUGUGCACCCCGGAUAGGGUUAGGCUUAGCCUUGGGCCUAGGCGAGCUGCCCUUCUACAAACUCCUUAUUUUGAUCUAUUUGGGUGUUUACUUGCCGAAAGGCAGAAUAGAAUGGAAUACAACUUUUAACAACGGAUCUCUUGGUUCUCGCAUCGAUGAAGAACGCAGCGAAAUGCGAUAAGUAAUGUGAAUUGCAGAAUUCAGUGAAUCAUCGAAUCUUUGAACGCACCUUGCACUCUCUGGUAUUCCGGAGAGUACGCCUGUUCGAGUGUCAUAAGACUCUCAAAUAGAGCUUUCUUAUAAAAUCUCUGUUUGGAUUUGGGCUUUGCUGUGUCAAUUAGUUAUUGUUUGCGGCUGGUCUUAAAUGUAUUAGCUGAUCCCUUGUAGUAGCGGGGAAUUUGGUUCUACUCGGCGUGAUAAUUAUCUGACGUUGAGGACGGUCCUCUAGUCUUCCCCUUUUUUUGGGUUAGAGAGAACUGGCCAAGGGCUCCCUCUGUAUAUAUUUGUGGAUUGCUUCUAAUUGUCUUUGGACGUGUAUAACAAUGAUCUGACCUCGAAUCAGGUGGGAUUACCCGCUGAACUUAAGCAUAU